This 314-nucleotide long non-coding RNA is filed under the name Ictidomys tridecemlineatus (thirteen-lined ground squirrel). Its description in RNAcentral is "lncRNA (ENSSTOG00000033530.1)". Lineage: Eukaryota; Metazoa; Chordata; Mammalia; Rodentia; Sciuridae. The record is from RNAcentral.
CCCGAGCUGCAGGGGCGGCACCGCCACUCCCGCUCGACGAUGUUGGGGAACGGCCUGAGCCAGCAGCACACCAGCCUUGCGGUCCGAAGGCCGGAGUCGGCAGCGGCGCCGGGAGCCGAUCCCGGGCCUCCGGCUCUGAGAGGAAAAGGAAACACCCAGAAGGCUUCAGAGACAGAUACUAAGUCCUAUUUCUUAAAUGAGGCGGUAAGUAGAUAGGUUUUUGUUUUGUUGUUCUUUCUACCUGUUUCUAAUUCUAUAUUCUAUUUCUGAAGUUCUGUGCCACAGAAAUAAAAGCACUUUCACGUGGUCUAAAA